Long non-coding RNA from Onychostoma macrolepis, 3549 nucleotides. RefSeq lists it as uncharacterized. Lineage: Eukaryota; Metazoa; Chordata; Actinopteri; Cypriniformes; Cyprinidae. The transcript is spliced from 4 exons. The record is from RefSeq and is a predicted model, not a curated record.
CCCUAAACACACUGCACGAUUUUCGGCUGUUCCAGGCGAAAGAUUGGCAUCGUGAAACAAUUGUGGCCAAUCAGAAAUCACCACGAUUGCUUCACGAAGGUGGUCUUUCGUCUGGGACAGCCUAAAAUCGUGCAGUGUGUUUCAGGCUUUAAUCAAACAAACAAGAACCAGCUAAUUAAGAGACAGGUGUUUGAUCAGGAUUGGAGCUGAACUUUGCAGGAAGGUAGAUCUCAGGAACAGGACUGGGAACUCCUGGUUUAAACUGUAUGUAGCUGAAAAUACAGUAGUCUAAGAAAAAAUUAUUAUAACUGAUUUGUUGAAUAUAACUUGCUAGCUAAUAAUAAUAAUAAUGCUCUGUACCCAUACUUUUUUAUAUGUAUAUAUAUAUAUAUUUCAGGACAGAAAGACCAGAAUUGGGAAGAAGAACAAAAUAUCUGGGCCAUAUUCCCUUUGUAUCAGCAGCUUCCUGAUGAGAAUAACAUUCUUGAAAAAGCAGAAGCCAUCAUUGGUCCAUACUUGGAAUGCUGUGAAGUGAGCUGGUCAGUAAUGUAAUGUUCCUGGUAUGCAAGUUUGCUCCACAAAAUAAAGUGGUCCAGGAAAUAUAUGAAAAUGAGGAUGUUCAUGAUUCAAUAUCGUAAACUAAACCCUUCAGGAAGAUGUUGCAAACACGUCUGGAGACUUUGAGAAGAUAUCUGGCAAGCCAACCUAUGGCCUGGUUUAAAGGGAGCACAUUCAAACUACAGCAGUUUAAUGAUACACCUGCUAUACCUUUUUGUUGUGAAAUGUUCCUGUGGAUUAUACAUGCAUUUAAUUCUCUGGAUUUGUUUGUAAUUGUAUAAAAAUGGAAGGAAGUCAUAAUUAUACUUGAUUAUUUUAUUGUAAUAUUGGACCUGUAAACUGAUUAUUUUCAAUCUCAAUUUCUUUCAUUUUGUUCUUACACAAACAAUUGAAUUGACAUUGAAUUAAACAACAUUAACAGCAUGGAGAAGAAGAAAAUUUUUUUUGGCUAUUUUUUACAUUACAAGCGCAACUGCAAUAGACUAUGAGAACAUUAAGUGGUUGCACAUACUGUAGAUUGACACUGGGAUCUUUUGCAAUCACAUUUAACACAAGUCAACUCACAAAAAUAACACAAGUCAACUCUGUGACAGAAGACCUAUCAGAUGGUAAUUGUUUCUCAUGUGAACAUAUGUAAAAAUAUAUUUACUCAUGGAUUUGAUGCUUUUUUCACAGUGGAGAAGCAAGGUGUGUGAUCAUAUGAACCUAGAAAUGCACUGCUGACAUGGCCAAUCGCAUGGUUGUCUGCUAUAAAUAAAUAAAAUGGCAUAUGCUUGGAAUAAUAAAUAAAUUUAAAUGUAAUAUACUAUUCGUUAUUUAUUUAAAUCUCUGGUUUAAGAAUAGAAAAAUAGACCCACUAGUUUAAAAAGUUUUCUUAAAUUUUAGCUCUCAAAAUGAUGGGUGUCAUUAAAAAUGUGGAGAUUAGCAGAAAUGCGUUGCAACCUCUUAUUUACAUGAGGUAAACAAAGCUGCUUGGUUUACAUUUUUAUGUAUGUACUUGUAGGGCUAUACAUAUUUUAAAGUUGUAUUGUAUACCUGUUACUGCCAUAAUAAUGACCCAUUUCAAAUGUUUACAUGCUUUCUGGUCUUUUUGUUCUUAACAGCACUCAAUUGUUGUGGUGGAGCAGUUAUGAAGUAUUGUUCUUGUAAAUACUUUCUAGCAUUUCAGUAUUUUUUUUUCAGUAAUAUGCAUGCAAAGUACAACAGUUAGUAUAUCAUGUUAAACGGUGGUCAAAAAGGAUUUAAACAGUUAGUUUUGAAUCUAUUUCUUCUUCUCAGAGAUGUGGAUUCGGACAGCAAUUAAAUUACCACAUGACUUUAUUAAUUCGGCCAGGGAUUUUUACAGGGAUGGUGGGAGAAAAACGCUGACAUUCUGGAUUCGGAUGGCAAUAAAAUCACAGACUAACCCCUGUAAAUGCUGAAAAUCGCUUACGUCCCCAUGAGAACCAAUUACCAUCCAAAUCUGGCUAUUAUGUGCUUUUAUCAGGUGGAACCAAACAUACACCAUUUUUCAUACAUCUCCAUUUUUGCACCAUUUUGGACUCUGCAGUAUCAGAUGCCUCUUCAGUGGUAGCUCCUUUGAUUUGUCGAAUUUCUGCCAGCUCGUCCAGGUAACUGAAGAAUAAAAUAAAAGAUCAAUCAAUAAUACAGUAAUUGUCUACUGAUUUAUAAAUGUAAUGAUUUAAAAAAAAAAAAAAAAUUGAAUACCUUUAAAAAUAUGCAUACAUUUACUAGACUAAAACUAGUAAAAAUAAACAGGAAGGUUAUGCCAAAAUAUCAAUCCUAUAUAAAAAAAAUGAAUAAUAGAUUUAUAUAUAUAUAUAUAUCUACGCAGUGUAGAAUACAAUGUAUAUUAUGGGACAACUUGCUUCAGUUUUACAACAGUCAAGAAUGGCCAGGGAGCUAACAGCCAUGUUUACUGAAUGUUCUUCAUGCUUGAUAUAAUGUGUUGUUUAAAAGAAUGAACAAUGGUUAGAUCAUAGAGGAUAGCACAUAGUAUACUAAAAAUAACAGUAACACUGACCUAUUGAGUACUCCUGCCCUGAGAGCAGCAUAGUUCAGUAAAAAGAACAGUAAUAGGGACCUAUUGAGUACUCCUGCCCCGAGAGCAACGCAUAGUUCAGUUAAAAGAACAGUAAUAUGAAUAUUGAGUACUCCUGCCCUGAGAGCAGCACAUAGUUCAGUAAAAAUAAUAUGAAUAUUAAGUACUCCUGCCCUGAGAGCAGCACAUAGUUCAGUAAAAAGAACAGUAAUAGGGACCUAUUGAGUACUCCUGCCCUGAAAGCAGCGCAUGGUUCAGUAAAAAGAACAGUGAUAUUAAUACUGAGUACUCCUGCCCCAAGAGCAGCACAUAGUUCAGUAAAAAGAACAGUAAUGGGGACCUAUUGAGUACUCCCGCCCUGAGAGCAGCACAUAGUUCAGUAAAAAAUAAUAUAAAUAUUGAGUACCCCUGCCCUGAGAGCAGCACAUAGUUCAGUAAAAAGAACAGUAAUAGGGACCUAUUGAGUACUCCCGCCCUGAGAGCAGCACAUAGUUCAGUAAAAAAUAAUAUAAAUAUUGAGUACUCCUGCCCUGAGAGCAGCACAUAGUUCAGUAAAAAGAACAGUAAUAGGGACCUAUUGAGUACUCCUGCCCUGAGAGCAGCACAUAGUUCAGUAAUAAUAAUAUGAAUAUUGAGUACUCCCGCCCUGAGAGCAGCGCAUGGUUCAGUAAAAAGAACAGUAAUAGGGACCUAUUGAGUACUCCUGCCCUGAGAGCAGCACAUAGUUCAGUAAAAAGAACAGUGAUAUUAAUACUGAGUACUCCUGCCCUGAGAGCAGCACAUAUUUCAGUAAUAAUAAUAUGAAUAGAGUACUCCUGCCCUGAGAGCAGCACAUAGUUCAGUAAUAAUAAUAUGAAUAUUGAGUACUCCUGCCCUGAGAGCAGCACAUAUUUCAGUAAUAAUAAUAUGAAUAUUGCGUACUCCUGCCCUGAGAGCAGCACAUAGUUCAG